UUAUAUUUUAUAUUUUAUAUUUUAUAUUUCAAGUUUCAAAUUUUAAAUUUCAAAAUUUUCAAAUUUAAACUUUAUUUUUAAAAUUAAAAUAUCAAAUUUUAAAUUUUUUAUAAAUUUUAUAUUUUAUUCAAAUAUUAAAUUAUUUUAAAAUAAAAUUUUCUAAAAAUAUUAUUAUAUCUAAACAUCAAAAUAUUUUUACCAAACAGCUUAACAAAAUCUUUCAGAAAAAUAGUUUUUUGUCGAAACUCAGCGAAACGCUAUACAGCUUUUAACCAAAAUCACUUCUCCAAAUCAAAAUUAAUUUUGCAAAAAUCACUUUUCCAAAAUUUAGGCCAAAUGGGCGUUUUAUUUACUUAGUCAGAAAAUGCUGAAAUAGCUAUAUAUACUAGUUAUGGAACCCUUAUGUAACAGUUCUUUUACCUUUUUACAGAUAAUUAAUAAAUAACUUUUUUUUUUUUUUUGAGAGAGAUAGGUAGCACGCUACCCGCUUCGUUUAUUUCAUUUAGAAAUAAACUUAGCUGAAUACGUGAAUCAAUUAGGAUUCGAACUUGGGUCUCGGUUACCAACCACCAAGCCUUUUGCCACUUGCUCUAGGGACGGUCGGUAAUAACAAAAUAUGUUUAUUUAUAAAAUAAAUAACAAUAUAUUCCACUUUAUUAAAUAAACAAAUUUUAGAGGCAUUUUCCAUCGCAAAGUAAUGGGCCUGCAUUUUCCAUCACAAAUUUUAUUUUUUUUUUAAAAAUUUUAGAUAUUCAAAAUUUUAAAUUUGAAAUUUUUAAAAUUUUAAUUUUAUAUUUUAUAUUUCAAAUUUUAAAUUUGAAGUGUCAAAUUUUAAAUUUCAAAUUUCAAAUUUUAAAUUUCAAAUUUUCAAAUUUGAACUUUAUUUUUUAAAUUAAAAUAUCAAAUUUUAAAUUUUAUUCAAAUAUUAAAUUAUUUUAAAAUAAAAUUUUGUAAAAAUAUUAUUAUAUCUAAACAUCAAAAUUUUUUUACCAAACUGCUUAACAAAGUCGUUCAGAAAAAUAGCUUUUUGUCUAAACUCAGCGAAACGCUAUACAGCUUUUAACCAAAUCACUUUUCCAAAUCAAAAUUAAUUUUUCAAAAAUCACUUUUCCAAAAUUUAGACCAAACGGGUUACUUAAUCAGAAAAUGCUGAAAUAGCACCAUCCUAGUGUCCCUAUAUAUAUAUAUAUAUAUAUAUAGAGAGAGAGAGAGAGGAGAGAGAGAGAGAGUUGAACUGGGCUACUAUUAGUAGCAAAAUUUCAUUGUUACUACCAGUUUUUUAACCUUUGAAUCAACUCUUUUCAUUAUUUCUAACCAUUGGAUUAAAUACUAUAACCCAGUGGGGACCACUCAACUCUAACCGACUAAUAUCAUCCUGACCCUAUAAUUUUUCAUCCAAGGUUAAAAACUUGAUAGUAAAAAGAGCGUUUUACUAUUAAUAGUAUUCCAGCCUAAUUAUAUA
This 1462-nucleotide long non-coding RNA is filed under the name Ananas comosus (pineapple). RNAcentral's name for it is "long non-coding RNA (ACOM_LNC043456)". The record is from RNAcentral. Lineage: Eukaryota; Viridiplantae; Streptophyta; Magnoliopsida; Poales; Bromeliaceae.